This 505-nucleotide ribosomal RNA is filed under the name uncultured bacterium. RNAcentral's name for it is "bacterial SSU rRNA". It matches the Rfam family "Bacterial small subunit ribosomal RNA", at positions 10 to 507 of the family's 1533-position model. The record is from RNAcentral.
AGUUUGAUCAUGGCUCAGAUUGAACGCUGGCGGCAUGCCUUACACAUGCAAGUCGAACGGCAGCACGGGAGCUUGCUCCUGGUGGCGAGUGGCGAACGGGUGAGUAAUACAUCGGAACGUACCCUGAAGUGGGGGAUAACGUAGCGAAAGUUACGCUAAUACCGCAUAUUCUGUGAGCAGGGAAGAGGGGGAUCGCAAGACCUCUUGCUUUAGGAGCGGCCGAUGUCGGAUUAGCUAGUUGGUGAGGUAAAGGCUCACCAAGGCGACGAUCCGUAGCGGGGUCUGAGAGGAUGAUCCGCCACACUGGGACUGAGACACGGCCCAGACUCCUACGGGAGGCAGCAGUGGGGAAUUUUGGACAAUGGGCGCAAGCCUGAUCCAGCCAUGCCGCGUGAGUGAAGAAGGCCUUCGGGUUGUAAAGCUCUUUCGGUGGGGAAGAAAUUGCUUCGGUUAAUACCUGGAGUAGAUGACGGUACCCGCAUAAGAAGCACCGGCUAACUACGUG